This 1355-nucleotide ribosomal RNA is filed under the name uncultured bacterium. Its description in RNAcentral is "bacterial SSU rRNA". It matches the Rfam family "Bacterial small subunit ribosomal RNA", at positions 27 to 1381 of the family's 1533-position model. The record is from RNAcentral.
GGAUGAACGCUAGCGGCAGGCUUAACACAUGCAAGUCGAGGGGCAACACGGGUAGCAAUACCUGGUGGCGACCGGCGCAAGGGUGCGUAACGCGUGAGCAACAUGCCCUAUACAGGGGGAUAAUCCAGGGAAACUUGGUCUAAUAUCCCAUAGUAUUUAGAGGUGGCAUCACCACUAAAUUAAAGCUUCGGUGGUAUAGGAUUGGCUCGCGUGACAUUAGCUGGAUGGUGGGGUAACGGCUCACCAUGGCGAUGAUGUCUAGGGGUUCUGAGAGGAAGAUCCCCCACACUGGGACUGAGACACGGCCCAGACUCCUACGGGAGGCAGCAGUGAGGAAUAUUGGACAAUGGAUGGAAAUCCGAUCCAGCCAUGCCGCGUGCAGGAAGACGGCCCUAUGGGUUGUAAACUGCUUUUAUACGGGAGCAAUAAGGUCUAUGCAUAGAUUGAUGAGAGUACCGUAUGAAUAAGCAUCAGCUAACUCCGUGCCAGCAGCCGCGGUAAUACGGAGGAUGCGAGCGUUAUCCGGAUUUAUUGGGUUUAAAGGGUGCGUAGGCGGCUUUGUAAGUCAGCGGUGAAAUUUUGCAGCUUAACUGUAAAAGCGCCGUUGAUACUGUGAAGCUAGGAUUUGGUUGCUGUGGGCGGAAUGUGUGGUGUAGCGGUGAAAUGCAUAGAGAUCACACAGAAUAUCGAUUGCGAAGGCAGCUCACAAAGCCAAUAUUGACGCUGAGGCACGAAAGUGUGGGGAUCAAACAGGAUUAGAUACCCUGGUAGUCCACACUGUAAACGAUGAUAACUCGCUGUCGGCGAUAGACCGUCGGUGGCCAAGCGAAAGCGAUAAGUUAUCCACCUGGGGAGUACGACCGCAAGGUUGAAACUCAAAGGAAUUGACGGGGGCCCGCACAAGCGGAGGAACAUGUGGUUUAAUUCGAUGAUACGCGAGGAACCUUACCCGGGCUCGAACGGUGCAUGAGUAAUACAGAGAUGGAUUAGUCCUUCGGGACAUGUAUCGAGGUGCUGCAUGGUUGUCGUCAGCUCGUGCCGUGAGGUGUCGGCUUAAGUGCCAUAACGAGCGCAACCCUUGUCAUUAGUUACCAUCAGGUCAAGCUGGGGACUCUAGUGAGACUGCCACCGUAAGGUGUGAGGAAGGGGGGGAUGACGUCAAAUCAGCACGGCCCUUAUGUCCGGGGCGACACACGUGUUACAAUGGGAGGUACAGAGGGCAGCCAGUUAGUGAUAACGCGCCAAUCUCAAAAACCUUUCUCAGUUCGGAUUGGAGUCUGCAACUCGACUCCAUGAAGUUGGAUUCGCUAGUAAUCGCGCAUCAGCCAUGGCGCGGUGAAUACGUUCCCGGGCCU